Carassius auratus (goldfish) is the source of this 433-nucleotide long non-coding RNA. RefSeq lists it as uncharacterized. The transcript is spliced from 5 exons. The record is from RefSeq and is a predicted model, not a curated record. Lineage: Eukaryota; Metazoa; Chordata; Actinopteri; Cypriniformes; Cyprinidae.
CACAUUCCCAGAUUUCCCAGCCCAGCCCUGCAGCGAGGACACUACGCAGAUAGCAAGAGAGAAAGCGUAGCUCGCUGGAUUUUAUCCACUUUAUGUCCUAAAAAACAUUUGUACAGACAUUUCUCAGUCCGAGUGACGUCACCGCUUCCGCGUCCAAUCAGAUAUCACGAGAAAACAACAAAAGGUCACACUGAACAGCAGAUUGUUGUCUCAAGCCAGUGCUGAUCAAUGACAGUUUAGCUGCAGUCUGUCAGAGAAGAGAGGAAAGAUGAGUCUCUCACAGAAACAGAGUGUAAGAUCAGGAUCACAUGUGUCUGUGAAGAGUGACCAGUCAAAGGAUGAUAACAUGCCGAACUUCAGUGAGAAAAAAACAUCUAUCAAAAGUGUAAGAUCAGACUCACAUGUGUCCAGCUCUGUGUCUGUGAAGAGUGAC